RNAcentral lists this transfer RNA (109 nucleotides) under Thermofilum sp. Its description in RNAcentral is "tRNA-OTHER". It matches the Rfam family "tRNA". From Rfam's summary of the family: Transfer RNA (tRNA) molecules are approximately 80 nucleotides in length. Their secondary structure includes four short double-helical elements and three loops (D, anti-codon, and T loops). Further hydrogen bonds mediate the characteristic L-shaped molecular structure. tRNAs have two regions of fundamental functional importance: the anti-codon, which is responsible for specific mRNA codon recognition, and the 3' end, to which the tRNAs corresponding amino acid is attached (by aminoacyl-tRNA synthetases). tRNAs cope with the degeneracy of the genetic code in two manners: having more than one tRNA (with a specific anti-codon) for a particular amino acid; and 'wobble' base-pairing, i.e. permitting non-standard base-pairing at the 3rd anti-codon position. The record is from RNAcentral. Lineage: Archaea; Thermoproteati; Thermoproteota; Thermoprotei; Thermofilales; Thermofilaceae.
GCCGGGGUCGCCUAGCCUGGUCCAGGGCGACACGCGAAAUAGCGCGCUAGGGGUUGCUAACCCGUUGGCCGUGAAGGCCGCCCGGGUUCGAAUCCCGGCCCCGGCGCCA